This 451-nucleotide ribosomal RNA is filed under the name uncultured bacterium. RNAcentral's name for it is "partial 16S ribosomal RNA". It matches the Rfam family "Bacterial small subunit ribosomal RNA", at positions 29 to 523 of the family's 1533-position model. The record is from RNAcentral.
AACGAACGCUGGCGGCAGGCUUAACACAUGCAAGUCGAACGGGCGUAGCAAUACGUCAGUGGCAGACGGGUGAGUAACGCGUGGGAACAUACCCUUUGGUUCGGAAUAACUCAGGGAAACUUGAGCUAAUACCGGAUAAGUCCGAGAGGAGAAAGAUUUAUCGCCGAAGGAAUGGCCCGCGUCUGAUUAGCUAGUUGGUGAGGUAACGGCUCACCAAGGCGACGAUCAGUAGCUGGUCUGAGAGGAUGAUCAGCCACACUGGGACUGAGACACGGCCCAGACUCCUACGGGAGGCAGCAGUGGGGAGUAUUGGACAAUGGGGGCAACCCUGAUCCAGCCAUGCCGCGUGAGUGAUGAAGGCCUUAGGGUUGUAAAGCUCUUUUGUCCGGGAAGAUAAUGACUGUACCGGAAGAAUAAGCCCCGGCUAACUUCGUGCCAGCAGCCGCUGUAA